RNAcentral lists this small RNA (1875 nucleotides) under Drosophila pseudoobscura pseudoobscura. RNAcentral's name for it is "GA32353". The record is from RNAcentral. Lineage: Eukaryota; Metazoa; Arthropoda; Insecta; Diptera; Drosophilidae.
AUUCUCUAUAUACCUUAUGCCUAUAUGUAACUCUUAAUUUACGUUUAAUUUAUUUAAUUUGUAAUUUGUGUUUCAUUAAAUUUUGCUUAAAUUCUAUGAGAUUUCGGCGGAUCGGAUCUCGUACGUUGUAGUAUUUAUAAGUUUUAAAAUUAGUUUUUUAACAAAACAUACAAAAAUUACGUUUCAACAAACACACAAAAAAAGAAACAAAUACCAAUACGUAGCAGAACCAGAUUAAAUGUGUUCUAAUCAUGAUUGAUGCGCAAUCAAUCAUGCUGAUAAAUGAUGAUGACGUUUUUUUUGCCAUACCAUACCAUACCAUACCCUUCCCCCGCCCCCCUCAAUGUUAGAUGGAAAUAUUUGUGAAUUUUUCGGUUGUUUGUGACUCUCCAAUUCUGUCUUUGCGAUUUUCAUUCAGAGCAGAACAGGAAUACAAACAAAAGUUAAAAAGAGAACAGAAAACAGAGAACAGAAUACAGAGAACGAAACAAAACGAAACGAAGAAAAUAAAAAGGAAUGAUAAAAACUAAAUGUGAAACGAAUUGCAAAUUUGUUGUAUUUUUUUAUAUGAAUAUAUAUAUAGUAUAUUGAUAUAUAUGUAUAUGUAUAUGUGUAUCUGUACGAGUAUAACCCGCAUACAUGCCCAUUAAAUAUGUAUGCCAUUUAGAAUGCUAUAUGUUAUAGAUCAUAAGGCUAUAUGUUGUAGAUCUUUAAGCGCUAACAGCAAAAGCAACAACCACAACAACAACAACAACAAACAACAAUUUUUGUAGUAGUUUUUUAAAUGAAUCAACAAAAAAAGGAAAAAAAACUAUGUAUGUAUUUGUAUUUGUGUCUAAACCCGAAUGUUCGUAAAUAACACAAAAGCAAAAAGGAACGAAACAAUAAUAAAAUGAAUGAAAAACAAGACAAAAUCGUCUCAGUGAACCGUCGAAUCAUUCUACUAUAUAAACAUCAAGAAAUUCUGAAAAUACGCUUUCAAAUAACAUAGUUCGAAAACGGAAUAGGAGCUCCACUCCACUCGUUUUUGGUCUUCGUUCAGCAUAUAACAACACUCUGGAAGGUAUCUGGUGUGUCAUCGUCGUCGUCAGUCGUCCGUCAUCCAUCGAUGCAUUGUGCUGAGCUUGCCGAAAUGUCCAAAAAAUCACGCGCUGUCCAGUGGAACUGUAUGGAAUGACCACGAGCUGGAGCAUGCAUAGCAGGAGUGGUGUGAUGCCAACCCAAUUAGCCAUGGAGUGACCUGCUAGGGGGGAUACAAGAACGAAAGGAGCUGCUUGGGUAUGGUACUGAUAGCCUGAAUGGGACGAUCUUUAAUCCAAUUCUUCUCUUUGGCCAUACAUACAUAUUUUACGUACAUAUGCUCUCUUAUACAAUGUGAUGCAUCAUCAAGAUUUGGAUAAGAGAAUGGGAAAAGUUAUUUUCGGGUGUAAACAGAACUUGGGAAUUGGAUACCCCAAGAACUCGAAUGCUCGAGAGAACACUCUGAGUGAUAUCUUAAGAUAAGAGACCUCUUUUUGGAUCCUUCCUGUACCAUUAUCAUCACUGAUUUUGUCGACUUUAAGUAUGAAAUGAAAUGAAACAAAAAAAUAUAAUUGGAGUGGAGUGUGAAAUGUCACGUUGUAUACGCUAUAUUCGAUAAGAUAGGAAACAGAAGCAAUUAAAGCCUGCCUCAAUAUAAGAGCACAAAAUACCGCCAAUUCGUUCCAUUUGAAUUCAAAUUAGGCGCCACAUUCCGAAUCGGCUGACAUCUUCCGCUUAACAGCCCAUGUUGUGUAUAAAUUCAGCAGUGUUGUGUCGUUAUGGCUUCAGGGGUUCAAAUAAAUGUCCUAUCUAAUAAAAUUAGUUUAAAGUGGUUCCCCUUCCUAUUUUUCUGAU